AGGACGAACGCUGGCGGCGUGCUUAACACAUGCAAGUCGAGCGGAAAGGCCCUUCGGGGUACUCGAGCGGCGAACGGGUGAGUAACACGUGAGUAAUCUGCCCCUAGCUCUGGGAUAGCUCCGGGAAAACCGGGAUUAAUACCAGAUACGACCACUUUAGACAUCUGCUGUGGUGGAAAGAAUUUCGGCUAGGGAUGAGCUCGCGGCCUAUCAGCUUGUUGGUGAGGUAACGGCUCACCAAGGCGACGACGGGUAGCCGGCCUGAGAGGGCGACCGGCCACACUGGGACUGAGACACGGCCCAGACUCCUACGGGAGGCAGCAGUGGGGAAUAUUGCGCAAUGGGCGAAAGCCUGACGCAGCGACGCCGCGUGGGGGAUGAAGGCCUUCGGGUUGUAAACCCUUUCAGCAGGGACGAAGCGAAAGUGACGGUACCUGCAGAAGAAGCGCCGGCUAACUACGUGCCAGCAGCCGCGGUAA
RNAcentral lists this ribosomal RNA (479 nucleotides) under uncultured bacterium. RNAcentral describes it as "SSU rRNA". It matches the Rfam family "Bacterial small subunit ribosomal RNA", at positions 26 to 523 of the family's 1533-position model. The record is from RNAcentral.